GCGCGAGUGGCGAAAUUGGUAUACGCGCUGGAUUUAGGUUCCAGUGUCUUCGGACGUGCGGGUUCAAGUCCCGCCUCGCGCACCA
This 85-nucleotide transfer RNA is filed under the name Bowdeniella nasicola. RNAcentral describes it as "Actinomyces nasicola tRNA_Leu_TAG". It matches the Rfam family "tRNA". From Rfam's summary of the family: Transfer RNA (tRNA) molecules are approximately 80 nucleotides in length. Their secondary structure includes four short double-helical elements and three loops (D, anti-codon, and T loops). Further hydrogen bonds mediate the characteristic L-shaped molecular structure. tRNAs have two regions of fundamental functional importance: the anti-codon, which is responsible for specific mRNA codon recognition, and the 3' end, to which the tRNAs corresponding amino acid is attached (by aminoacyl-tRNA synthetases). tRNAs cope with the degeneracy of the genetic code in two manners: having more than one tRNA (with a specific anti-codon) for a particular amino acid; and 'wobble' base-pairing, i.e. permitting non-standard base-pairing at the 3rd anti-codon position. Lineage: Bacteria; Bacillati; Actinomycetota; Actinomycetes; Actinomycetales; Actinomycetaceae. The record is from RNAcentral.